CCCUAUUAUAUUUAUAAUUAAUAUUUUAUGAGGUAGUAAAUGUUAAAUUCAGGAAACUUAAAGAAUUUGGCGGUGUUUAUUCUUAUUAGAGGAAUAUGUUUUAUAAAUGAUAACCCACAAGAAUCUUACUUAUUUUAAUAAUUUUGUAUAUCUCCGUCUCAAAAGAUUUUUUAAAAAUAUAUUUUAAAUAGUCAAGAAAAGUUAAGUCAGGUCAAGGUGCAGAUUAUAAAUAAGGAAAAAUGUAUUACAAUAAAAUUAUUUUUGGAUUUAUUAUGUAUUAUAAUAAAUGAAAUUGGAUUUAAUAGUAAAUUUAUUUAUAAUAUAAUAUG
This 329-nucleotide ribosomal RNA is filed under the name Valenzuela oyamai. RNAcentral's name for it is "partial 12S rRNA". Lineage: Eukaryota; Metazoa; Arthropoda; Insecta; Psocodea; Caeciliusidae. The record is from RNAcentral.